This 343-nucleotide unclassified non-coding RNA is filed under the name soil metagenome. Its description in RNAcentral is "partial contains 5.8S ribosomal RNA, internal transcribed spacer 2, and large subunit ribosomal RNA". The stretch from base 1 to 120 matches the Rfam family "5.8S ribosomal RNA", at positions 35 to 154 of the family's 154-position model. The record is from RNAcentral.
GAUGAAGAACGCAGCGAAAUGCGAUAAGUAAUGUGAAUUGCAGAAUUCAGUGAAUCAUCGAAUCUUUGAACGCACAUUGCGCCCGCCAGCAUUCUGGCGGGCAUGCCUGUUCGAGCGUCAUUUCAACCCUCGAGCCCCCCCGGGGGCCUCGGUGUUGGGGGACGGCACACCAGCCGCCCCCGAAAUGCAGUGGCGACCCCGCCGCAGCCUCCCCUGCGUAGUAGCACACACCUCGCACCGGAGCGCGGAGGCGGUCACGCCGUAAAACGCCCAACUUUCUUAGAGUUAACCUCGGAUCAGGUAGGAAUACCCGCUGAACUUAAGCAUAUCAAUAAGCGGAGGA